UUCCAGUGACUCGAUUAAAAAUGUAUUUCCAAUAUUUUGCUAGACCCCUACUUAGAUGGGGGUAGACUUAAGUAUUUUUCAAGGUUCCUGUCCUCAGAAACUUUAGUUCGAAAUGGAAACCAGAUGCAGUUCUUUACACAAAAAAGGCUAUUGGUAUGAGGAAGUUAAGUGAUAUAUUUUUUAAAAAGUAGUCCAGGGGCGCCUGGGUGGCUCAGUCGGUUAAGCGUCCGACCUCGGCUCAGGUCAUGAUCUAACGGUUUGUGGGUUCGAGGCCCGUGUUGGGCUCUGUGCCGGCAGCUUUGUGCCUGGAGCCUGCUUCGGAUUCUGUCUCCCUUGCUCUCUGCCCCUCCCCCACUCACGCUCUGGCUCUCUCUCAAAGAUAAAUAAACAUUAAAAAAUAAUAAUAAUAAAAAAAAAGUGAGAGUGGUAUCACUUUGACUCCAGAGAGUCAGGGAAGGCUUCUUGUGAGACCAGCCCAGCCUAGAAGGAAGCACAGGCCACUGUGGUUCCAGCAAGGGGGUCCUGUGGACUUGGGGAGCAGGUUGGAAAGACAAGCAAGAGCUGAAUGAAACAGUGCUUAAAUUUAGGCCAACGAGUAGAGACAUCAAACCGUUGACGAUUUAUUCUACCGAAGCUGGAUUUUCCAAGACCGGCCUGAAUAUCAUGACAUUUUGCCCUUUUCAAUUAAGGUGUUUGUGAAGUGUGAUUUACUAUUUAAAGUUUUACAACACUUACAUAAAUACGUUUACGUAACUAUUUUUUUUCUUAAAUGACAUCCUGAUUUGAUAUUUGGAAACUAAAGUAAUGUAUUCAGUCUUAACAAUAUUUGCUGUAUAUCUUGUCCCAAGUACAGGACUGAACAUUUAUGUAAUGUUUCAACAACUAUUUAUUAGGGGUACUCGGGGUACAACAUAGAACCUGAGAAGGAUGUCUGUCCUCAUGGAGCUUUUAUUCUAGUGGUAUAUUAGCUUGCUAGGACUGCCACGGACUGUUUUAAACAACAGAAAUUUGUUUUCUCACAGAUAUAGACACUAGAAAUCUACGAGCAAGGGGUCAGCCAAACUGGUUCCUUGUUAGGGCCGCGAGGAAAGGAUCUGUUCCAGGCCUCUCUCCUUGGCCUGUGGGUGGCCGUCUCUCCCUGUGUCUCCACAUCGUCUUCCUUCUAUGCUAGUCUGUAUCCAAAUUUCCUCUUCUUCCUUUUUUAAAAAUUUUAUUUAUUAUUUUGAGAGAGAGAGCAUGUGCGUGCAAGUGGGGGAUGGGCAGAGAGAGAGAGGGAGAGAGAGAAUCUCAAGCAGGCCCUGUACUGUCCGUGUGGAACCUGACGUGGGGCUUGAACUCAUCAACCAUGAGAUCAUGAUCUGAGCCGAAGUCGACACUUAACUGACUGAGCCACCCAGGUGCCCCCAAAUUUCCACUUCUUAUAGUGACACCAGUCAUAUUGGAUUAGGGCCCACCUUCAUUUUAACUCAUUUGGUAAAGACCCUGUCCGCAAAUAUGGUCACAUUCUGAGGUACUGGGGGUUAGGACUUCAACAUAAUGCAUUGUGUAAAGGACACAAUUCAGCCCAUAACGAGUGGGUGUUGAUGACAGAGCCGCGAAUGAAGUCUAGGACUUGGGUGGUCCUGGUUGCUGUGUACCAGGCACUGCACCACAGCUGCUCAUGUGCAACGCUGCAUUUAGCGCUGUAACCAGCCCAUGAGGUGAGUAUCGUUAUCCAAACUUUACAGACCACAUUAGUUCAUAGGGGGGUUUGCUUUAGUGGCACUGUGUUUAAUGUUGUCAUUGGUCAAAGCCUUGGAAACGAAAAUUGAGCCACGGCUGCAUGUGUAGGGUGUAUGUUGGUGGCUAAUUCAGACUCAGAAGCAAUUUCUGAAUGCUAAUGUAGAGAGGGAAGGUUUGGUGUUUUGUUUUUUUUUUUUUUUUUUUUUAAUACAUUAGGUUCUAAAGAAAAAAAAACCAAAGAUAAAAGUAAUAUUUGAUAAUUACCUUUUUCUCUCUAUAAAUAAUCCAAUACAUUAUUUUGUAAUUAACACUAUUAUAUAUAAUAACACUUUAUUAUAAAUAACCAUAAUUCUUUAUAAUAAAUAUACAACUAUCUAUUAAAUAAAUCCUACAUUUUUUAUAGCAAUGAUCACUUCCUUUGGAUUAGUUAGAUUCAAAUAAAGUUCCAGAUUGCUUCUGACUUGUAUCUUUUGAUUCUUCUCCAGACUAGGAAGUGCCUUGGCACUUUUCCUAUGGAAGGAAUCCUUCUCACAUUACCUGUUUUGCCUGUUUCAAUCAUUAUGCUCGUCUGGUGGACAGAUUCAGAUUCAGCACAUUAUUAUGGAAGACCUACACUCAUGUGGCAGGCCAUUUCACAAAAAUCCAUACCUUUCAUAAAUAUGGAAAACCAAAGGAUAUUAUGAUGCUUUUUUAUUGAGCAUCAAUUUUAUUCAAUUAUUUUAUGGAAAAAAAGUACCUAACUUUUUUUUUUUUUUUUUUUGCUUAAGGUAACCAGGGAACAAUUGAAAACAUAAUUUAAAUAUUGAAACAAUAUAAGUAUAUAUUAUAGUAUAGUAUAAAAUGCAAAAUGUACAUGAACUUUCAAGAUAAAACCUAUUUUAAAGAAGUAGCUUUUGUUUUGAAUGGUGCCUUUAGUUCAACAGAGAUGUGAAACUGCCCUUCUCUUUCCAACGCCCCGGUUGGGGCAGCGUCUCAGGAGGAAACAUUUGAAAAGUUCGAACAUUUUCUUCAUUCAGUCUUCCUAACAACCAUGUGAAGUAUAUUAUCCUCAUUAAGAGAUCAGAAAACAGAAGUUUGGAUAAAUUAUCUUGCCCUAGUUAACACAGCAAGUAAAUAGCAGAGGCAGGUGUUAAAUUCAGACUUUUCUGACUCUAAUUCUGGGGCAUUUUAUAUUGCACUACACCCACUCCUUGGAUGAAUAGGCUUCAGUCCUCCAGAGACUGCAUUGGCCUCACAGUUGUGCAUUUACACAUGUUCCAACCUCACUGACUCAUGGAUUCACACACUUAUUUGUGCACUUAAUCAGUAAAUAUUUAUUGAGAGCUUGCUAUGUGCCAAGCUUUACACUGGGUCCUGAGGACACAAUGGUUAGCAAUAAAGGCAUAACAUAUAAUCCUUUCCCUCCUGGAGCCUACAGUUUAGUGGAAGAACAAAUGUUAAACAAAUACCAAAAAACACUUAUUUACAAACUUGAUCAGUAUUAUAAAGCAAAAACAUAGGGUGCCAUGAGAGGGAAAAAAAAACAACAGGUGAGUUCAUUUAGAUUAGUGAUCAGAGAAGACCUCUUUAAAGAAGUGACCUUUGAUCUGAGGUUUUGAGCAUGAGUUAGCUAGAAGAAAACUUACUUGCACUUAAAGUAGUUACAAAUUGCCAUCCCACAAAAUCCAUCACUACAAUUCCCUCUAUUGUCACUAGAUUCCUUCUUUUGUCCACAGCAAGGUCAAAUUCUUACCCUCAGCCACCACAUUUAUUUUCUAUUAUAUCCAUCCAUCCAUUCAUCCAUCCAUCCAUUCAUUUAGCAUCAGCUAUGAGCCUGGCACUAUCAUGCGCUGAAUCCUUUUCUUUUUCAUCUUCACUCUCUUCUCCUUUUUCUCCUUUGAUUGCUCUAACCUCCUUCCUCUUUAUCUGAUUCUUGAAUCUAUUUCUGACUCACAUAUUUAAUGUUAUGCCUUUCCUUGUCCAAUCACUUCCCUUCCCUUGGGCUAAACUAUCAUUUCUCAUCCUGUUUUCAAUGAAUGGAUUCUUUCCUCACAUUUUUCUGAAUAUUUUGUAAGCAGGUGCUGAAAAUUAAUGAAGUUUUGUUUUGUUUGUUGUUUUGUCAACUACUUGGUGUUUCCAUCCCUUAACACAGAAUAUCAUUAAUAUAAAAAAACUUUUCCGGAAUCGUUCUCUCUCUCUCUCUCUUUCUCUUUCUGCCUAUGUACCUAUAUCUAUCACCUGUCUAUAUUUUGGAUCAUUUCUUUCUUUUAAUGACAAUUUUCUGGAGAUGGAUGGGUCUAUCUGUGUAACUUAAUAUUGCAUCUGGAGCUAAUGGUAAUCAUUUCUUAAGCUUUUCAUAUACUUUUAAAAGAGUCAGAGCACAUCCUUUAUGGGCCUGCUAGUAUGUUUGAUGUACCUCUGAUAUAAAUGCACAAAUGAAUUCAGAAAUUCACAGUCCAAGAUUAGGCUGCUUUCAGCUUCUCCUAUAAAGUCAUCUCUGUCCUUUCUGUCAUAACCUGGACAUAAAAAACCCAGGUCAGCAAUAAUAUAGUGUGUCAUCAACUAUUUAGGCAAACAUACACUUACCUCUCUAUCUCCACACAACUCAGAAAACCUCCUUUGGAAAACCUGAAGACCCAGACUGCACUAUCUAGAAAGUUCUACCUAUCAAAAGAUAAGUAGAGGAGUUUUCUCUUUCUAGGCAUGAUGGGGCACAAGGACCAAACUUAAAUGCCUACCAUAAAUAAUUAGAAAGCCGAAUAAAAUAUGAAACAAUGAAUUUCAGACAUCGGACAAUAGUCUGCAUAGGGCAAUGAUUACUGAAUGAAGAGAUACAAACAAGUGAGCUCAGUAAUUCCCCUGGCUUUCUGCCUGGAAGCAAUUUCUAGACUGUGGACUCAGGAAGGGGGGAUCCAAAUAGAUUUUGGCAGCCUUGCUGAGUUGAUAAGAUGGAGGUCAGGGUUUGAGGAGGCUGAGAUGGUUAGAGGUAGUGAGACAGAAUUCUGGGAAGAGGGAGCUAUGCAGAAAAACUGCUCCAGAAAUAUGUAUAGGAAUCUCUUGAGUCUUUGCUGAGUACCAGGACAUAAGUGUAUAGCAUGACACUCCACAAGGCUGGAAAGAAAAGACUGGUGAGUUGUAAGAUGAAUAAAUCUCAGGGCACACAUGGACUGGGAGAAAGUUUGGUUGGCCAAAGGGAAGAGUCCUUGCUCAUCCUUGGAACAUUCAGUGGAGAUCCUAAAGUAAUCAUAUGUUAGUAAUAGGUCUGAACUCUCCUUUGAGUGAGAUACUCUGGACCAGGGGUUGAAAGCUUUUCUUAAUUUACAGAUAGCGAUUCUUUUUGGCUUGUAGGUCAUAUGGUCUUCAUCACAGAUGCUCAGUUCUGCCAUUGUAGUGUGAAAGCAGCCAUAGACAAUAUUAACUGAAUGGAUGUGGCUGUGUUCCAAUAAAACUUUAUUAAGAAAAAACAAGUGGCCAGCCUGUGAGCUGUAGUUUGCUGACCUCUGCUCUAGAUCAGCACAGUCCAAUAGAAAUAUAAUGCAAGCCACAUAUGUAAUUUAAAAUGCCUAGUAACCACAGUAAAAAGGAAAAAGAAGUAGGUAAAAUUAAUAUAUUUUACUUAAUCCUAUAUAUCCAAACUAUUAUCAGUGCAACAUGUGAUCAAUAUAAUACUUAUUAAUGAGGAAGUUUGCAUUCUUUUCCUGACACUCAGUCUUCAAAAUCUAUUGUAUAUUUUAUACCUAUAGCACAUCUUAAUUUAUAUUAGUCAUAUUUUAAUAGCCACAUAUAGUUAGUGACUACCAUAUUGGAUAGCACAGCUCUUGCCUCUCUCUAGUAAAGCUUAAAGACAGGUCUUGAAGGGGAAUCAAACCGAUGGAACAAUUAAUUUCACUGCCUGCCAAAAACAAAGCCCAAUGCUCUUUAAAGAAAGACAACACAAGACAGACACUAAUAAUGUAACAAUAUCAAUGUUGGCAUCAAAUAAAAAAAAUUACUGGCCAUGAUUAAAAGCAAGAAAAAAAUACAACAAGGAGAAGAAUCAGUUAAGAGAAACAGUGAAAUGACAAAAUAAUGGAAUUAGCAGACAUGAUGUUAAGAUAGAUUUUAUCAUUAUGUGUAAACAUUUAAAGGAAAACAUAAAAAUAAUCAGAAGAAAAAUGAAAGAAAAAGAACCACCUGCAAUAUAUGAACUGAAGAUUUCAUUGGAUAAGAUUAACAUCAGAUUAGGCACUGCAGAAGAAAGGAUUAGUGAACCUGUAAACAUGGCAAUUAAAUUGAUCCAAGAUGAUCCACAGAGAGAAAAAAGGUUGAAAAAAAAUAGAUGAAAAGAGGCUCGGUGAUCAGUGAGAUAAUAUCAAAUGAUCUACCAUAAAGAGGAAAGGAAAGAAGAAGGGGCAGAAAAACAUUUGAAGAAAUAAUGGCUGAAACACUUCAAAAUUCAGUGAAUACUGUAUUUCAUAAAUCUGAGAAGCUUAAAAACUCAUGAAAAAAAAAUCAAGGCACAUAAUAAUCAAACUACUCAAAACCAGAGUUGAACAGAGAAUCUUUAGGCAGUCAGAGAAAAACACACAUUAAGUACAGAGAAAUAAACAUUAAAAUGACUACAGGCUCCACCUCAGAAAUUUAGGAAGCCAGAAGACAAAGAAAUAACACCUUCAGAGUGCUCAAAGAGAAAAGUCAACUUGGAAUUCAAUAUCCAGUGGAAAUAGCCUUCAAAAACAAAGAUGAAAUAAAAACAUUAUCAGACAAAGAAAACUGGAAGAAGUUUGUUGCCAUAGUAUAUACAUACUAAAAGAAAUGUUAAAUGAAAUUAUUCAGGCAAAAGCAAAAUGACAGCAGAUAUAAAUCUGAAAUACCAGAAAUGGUAAAUAUGUGGACAAAUGGAAAAGAUUUGUUUCCUUAUUUUAAAAUUUCUUUAAAAGUUAAUUGACUGUAUAAAGCAAAAAUAAUAGCAAUGUAUUUUUGAGACUUGUCAAAUGUGUAGAAAGAAAAUGUAUGACAAUAGCUUGAAAGACAGAAUGGGAGCAGUGGGAAGUCCAUAGCGUCAAGGAUUUUAUGUUAUCCAUGAAAUGGUAUAAUACUAUUUGAAUAUAAAUUAUGAGUUAAAAUGCAUAUUGUAAAGUAUAGAGCAAUCACUAAAAUAAAAUAGUAAAUGAAAAUAUAUCUCACCAACAGUGGAGACAAAAUGGAAUAUUAAGCAGUACCAAUUAACUCAAAAGAAGCAGGAAAAGAAGAAAAAAGUAACAAGAAAAGAUGAGAUAAAGCAAAACCCAAUAGUAAGUGGUAGAUUUAAACUCAACCAUCCUGAUAAUUAUAUUAAAUGUAAAUGAUCUAAAGAGUCCAAUUACAAGUCAGAGAUUGACAGACUAGAUAAAUAGUAAGAUUCUAUCACAUACUGUAUGAGCAAACCACUUCAAAUAUAUGGACAAGAUAGUUAAAACUAAAAGGAUGGAAAAGAUAUACUAUUGCAAACAUAAAUUAUAACAAAGUUGGAGUGACUAUAUUAAUACCAAGUAAAGUAUGCAAUAUAAAAAGGAAUAUUACUGGGAAUAAGGAGGAAACUUUCAUAAUGAUAAAGUAUUUAAUUUACUGGGGAGAUAUGACAAGCCUAAAUGUAACAGAGCUUCAAAAUACAUGAAGCAAAACCUGACAGAAUGAGUCAGAGGUCAUUUAAAUUCUCUGAAGUGAAUCAUUUGUGUGGAACUGGGAAAAUCAUUUAAUCUGCGAGUGAAAGUUUGCUCUCUUGUAAAUAAAAAUAAUCUACAUAUGUCAUGGGUAUUUUGUGAAAAUUAGAUAAAAGUAUAUGUGAAAUUAAAAAAUACAAACCUAACCUGAUGGAACUGAAAGGACAUUUAAAAAUCCUCAGUUAUAGUUGGAGUAUUCAACACUUCUUAUUUACAAUCAAUAAAGAAAGAAGGCAAAAUCAGCAAGGAUAUUGAAAAUUUAAAUGACACCAUCAAUCAACUGUACCUAAUUGGCAUUCAUAGAAUACUCUACCCAGCAACAGCAGAAUAUACAUUUUUAAAAAGUUCACCUGGAACAUUAACCAAGGGAGACCAUAUGUUAGUCAUAAAACAAGUUCCAACAAAUUUAAUUCAUGGGGUUUGUCCUCUGACCAUAGUGAAAUUAAAUUAGAAAUCAAUAACAGCUAUUUGGGAACUCUCUAAAUAUUUAGGAAUCAAAUAGCACACUUCUGAACAACACAUGGGCCAAAGAAGAAAUCAUAAGUGAAUUAAAAAAAAUAUUUUGAACUGAAUGAAAAUGAAAACACAUAUCAAAAUUUAUGAGAUGCAGUUAAAAUAGUAUCUCAAAGGAAAUGUAUGGUGCAAAGUGUUAAUAUUAGAAAAGAAUAAAGGUCUAAAAUCAAUAAUCUGAGAUUCUACCUUAAAAUGCAGGAAAACAAGAACAAAUUAAACCUAAAAUAAGUAAAAGAGAGAAAAUAAAAAAAAAAAAAGAGAAAUGAAUGACAUCUAAAACAAAAUAAUAGAGAAAAUCAUUGAAACCAAAAGCUAGUUGGAAAUUUUCAACAAAAUUUAUAAACCUCUAGAAAGAUUCAUUAAGAAAAAAGAAGAUGUAAAUACUGAAUAUCAGUGACACAUUACAGAUGCUACAGAUAUCAUAAGGAUAAUAAAUGAAUAUUAUGAAUAAUUUUAUGUCAAUAAAUGCAACAACUUAGAUGAAUGGGCAAAGAUACAAUUUGCCAAAUAUGACUGAAGAAGUAGAAAACCUGAAUAAGCCCUAUAUCUCCUAAAGAAAUUAAGUAUGUAAAUUAAAAAAUUUUCCUAGAAGAAAACUUUAGUCCCAGAAGGUUUCUCUUAUGAAUUCUAUUAAAUAUUUAAGAAACAUACCAAUGUCUCACAAGCUCUUUAAGAAAAUAGGAGGAUGGAUGGGGCACCUGGGUGGUUCAGUCGGUUAAGCAUCUGACUCUUGAUUUCAGCUCAGGUCAUGAUCUCAGUUUUGAUGCUCUCAUGGUUUGUCUGCUUACAGUGCACUGACAGUAUGGGGCCUGCUUGGGAUUCACUCUCUCCCUCUCUCUGCUCCUCCCCCCUCUGGAAAUAAAUUAAAAAACACUUAAAAAUCUUUAAAAAGGAAACUAGGAGGUUGGAAUAUUUCCCAUUUCAUGAGCAUCACUUUAAUAUGAAAAUCUGGCAGUGAUGUUACAAGAAAGAGAAAAAAGAAAAACAACAACAUGAGAUCAAUAUGACCCAUGAACACAGACACAGAAAUCCUUAGCAAAAUACUAGCAAACUGAGUCCAGCAAUUCUAAAAGAAACAACACAUCAUGGUGGGGGGUUAUUUCAGCAAUGUCAGAAAACCUAGAGGAAGACCUUUGAAGGUGGGGGUGGGUGUAUGUCAACGGGAAGUAAGCAGUAAAAAGGGAGCACCUUCAGCUUCAGUAGUCUUGUUUCCAUUCUUCUAGAAGCUGACAUUUCUGGGGAUUUACCACAUUCUAGGAAGCAUGUUCAGAGCUAUAUGUGUAGUCUCUUGUUUAGUCUUUACAAGAACCCUGUGAGGUAGAUACUCUUGUAGGCAUUUUAUAAACGAGUAAACUGAAGCAGAGAGAAACUUAAAAAAAAAAAAAAACUGACCAUAGUCCCAUAGCUAUUAGGAUUUGGACCUAGAUUGUCUGUCCCCAGAUACUGCACUGCUUGCUAAUGUACGACUCUUCAAAGAACUGCUCAUUUUCUGUGCUUUUGCCUAGCAAGGCUUAUUUCGUCACUCCUAAACAUUUAUUCACUUUUCAGUCCAUAAUUAAGAACUCCCAUCUGAGUCAAAAUAUUAAGUAGUUCCAAAUGCAGGAUACUUCUAAAAUAAAAGUAUGUAUAUUAAAUUAUAAAACUUAACGAUACUAGUGUGGGAGAUGUACUCCAUUAUCCUCUCCUACAUUUUUAUGUGGCUACAAAUGUUGUGGUCUCCAAGAAGUAGAAAAAAAAAAAACCAAAAAACUUUCCCGUUCCUAUGUGUAGAACAAAAUGCUCCCCCUGCCCCAACGUGUAGACCUAAUUUCAACACUGGCACUCAGACUUGAUGGCAUAUGAACUUGGGUAAGGUCUUUAAAGCCCUAUGAGCUUUAGCUCCCAGAUUUGUAACAAAAUGGAAUGGUGUUGCCUCCCAUGCAGAAUAGAGUGAGGAUGAAGAAGGUAUCCAGGUGUACCUCAUUUUCUUUUCUUCCCUAGACUUUUCUCCUUCAUGAUGCUUCUUUAGAGUUUCAGAGAUUAGAAAAGCCUUUUCCAAACUUUUUUGAUCCGUGUCCACAGUAACCACUUCAUAAACCACUAGGACAAUUAUAUACAUAAGUAUAUGUAAUGAAAGUGAUCCCCUAAUUUAUUGUAAAAAUUGGGAAAAUUAUUACUUUUGAAGAUAAUAACUGCUGAUCCAACAGGAAUAAACUGGGGGUGUUCUUGGAAAACGGAGCCACAUGUCAGGAAAACACUUAACCUUAUUUAUUUUGAUGCAUCCUGUUAAUUUAUCAUGUAUUCUAGUUAAUUAUAAAAAUGCUUUUCAGUAUCUAUUAAAUUGGUUUUGUAACCCACUAAUGAAUCCCUACCCAAGUAUUUUGAUUCCUUCUAAAGUCUUGUCUGACCGUUCCACCAUUCUUGGGAUCCAGAAGUGCUGAAGAUUAGCAUACACAAAUAUGGAGAAGUUCUGGAAAACUGAAGGGGUUCUAAUUCCCAUAGGUACACAUAUUCUGUUUCUCUUCAUUCAUUCAUUACCUAUUUUUUCAUCCACUCAUUCGUCAAAUACUUGGAGCACUUUCUGUAUUAACAAGUGCUGGUAAUGAUCAGAUCCUGGAUGCUGGAACCUGGUGGUCCCUACCCUUGAGGAAUUCUUGCCUUCUGGCGGGGCAAACGCAUCUGAAGAUACAUCAUUUCAGGACAGGGAGAUGAGUGGUGCUGUACAGAGAUGAUCAAAAGGUCUUAGGAACCUGGAAGAAGGAUCCACCAACUUCGGCAGGGAGGAAGGAGGGUUCCGGGGAGAAGAGUGACAUUCAAAUGUAUGAAGUUCUCAAGGAAGGCAUGGAGGCAUCAGGGCGUCGGCUGAGCUACCGCCAACCAGCCUCUAGGCUGCUCCACGUGGCUCUUUCGCAGGGCAGGAGAGGUUCUGGGGCUGACUUGCAGCCCCAUCUACCCCUGCGGUAUUUCUCAGAUUUAUUUUAAACGUCAUGAGAGUACUCAACCCCGCUCUAUUUUGGUCCCCCCAAACUAGCUGACCCAUCCAACUUACCCUGCUUGAAUUUUCUCCUAGCAUUUUACACCUUCUAAAUACACUAUAUAAUUUACUUAUCCGGUAUGUUUACUACCUGUUUCGUCCUCCUGGAACUUAAGCUGAAGGAGAGGAUUAGUCAGUUUCGUUUGCUUCGGUGUUCCGCCCGCCCCUUGCCUAGUCCGUUCACAACAGGUUCCUGAUAAAUAAUGGGCAUGACCUGAAAGAGCAAAUUUCUGUAUCCAAGACAUAAUUUCCAUGGGCUCAUUUCUGAAGGAAAGUGUAGAGGAAAAUCAAGACCUACAAGGAACCAUUUCUAAUAACAGCCUUUUCGUCCCUCGCUUCAACAGUGUUUAUUGAUCACCUGCUUCCCAUCAGCCCUGCUUUGAGCACUUGGAUUUCAGAGAGGAGGACAGAUCUUCUUUUCUGUCUUCUUGGCGUUCACCUGCCGGAAUGGAAGCAGACGUUAAUGGGCUAUGUAAUUGCAAAUCUGAGAGAUCUACAAAGGAAAAAAAAAAAGUACAGGAUGCUCUAAAAGCCUGAAACGGUAAUACAUGACUUGGGCUGGGAGGUCAGGGAAGUGAUUUUUAAGCUGAGUAGAAAUGAACUCAGUAAAAGAGAGGGGCGGGAGAGAGAGCAUUCUAGCAUAAUUACAAAGGUCGAGGAGUGGGAGGGAGCCUGUGUGUGGGUGUGGCCUAGACAGUGAGGAGGAGGGGCUUAGUCUAACAGCGGAGGUGGGCGGAGCGAGGUGGGCGGGGCACACCAGGUAGCUCCCCGGUGGGUGCAUCAGGCGUUAAGGGACUGGCACUUUGGUCGGGAGCAAAGGGGAGCCCUGAGAGGGGUGUCACCUGGGGGAUGUUGAAAUGAAAAAAUAGUCAGGCUUAAGUGCAGACAGUGGAUUAGGGAGUAUCGCAGAGCAGCUAUGGGGGAGUCCUAGAGGAGGGUGCUGUGGAGCUCAACGCGAGGAGUGAUGAAAAGCUGUGUGUAAGUUAGAGAAAUAAUUAAGACAUAAAAUGGAAGUUAAUGGCUUUUCUGUACUUUCAGAUAGAUCGGUGACGGCUUGUAUGUAUAAGGCUUUUGUAUGUUUCAAUGAACGAAAGUAAAAAUAAAGAAGCCUCUUGAAUUGUUUGUCAGCAGUCUCUGUGAUAUGUAUAUAGUUGUUAGUAAGAAGUGAGCCCAGUCCACAGCGAUCUAGUAGCCCCUGGGUGGCUGGUGGGUUUUCUGGGGAUGCAAAUGAGGGAAUGCUAUGGGGAAGGCCUGGUACAGACCAGGGGGAGAUAAUAAAAGGGGCCUGCGUACAUGCAGAUAACCGGUCAUGCAACAGGACCCUCCCUCCUUUCCCGUCCUUCCUUCCAACCGUGCUUCUUCCUUUCCACAUCCUUCUCUCAGCCUACAGUUUAUGAUUAGCGGUUCUUAAUGUUCCUUGGAGCUUAUCCCGAGAAUAAUGUGCAUCUUAUACACACAGAAAAUGUGGCAUUAUAUAUCAGGAGCCCUGGGGCCCCAGACUGAGAAUCUCUGACCUGUAGGGUUUGUAAAAUCGCAAUUCAUAGACAAAAAUAAAUAUAUCUAGCCAAUAAGUAUAUGAAAGGUGGUCAAGCUCACUAACCAUCACUUGAACCAACCGGACAUAACGUCUUUUAUUGAUCAGAUCGGUAAUGACUCAAAAACUUGAUACAACCCAGCUCGGCCAUGGUGGGAGGAAGUGAGUCCUCUUGUACACACAGGAUAAGCACAAGAUGGAACAGCUUUUUAGAGAGCAACUAGGCAGUAGCUUUCAUAAUUUUAAAUGCCUAGAUCCUUCAACCUAGUGAUUCCAAUCUUAAGAAACUAUCCUUUAGGGAAACAAACACAUGUGCAAAUAGUCAAAGGUGUUCAUCGCAGCAAUGACUAGAAAAUUGGGAACUGCCUAAAUGACCACCAAGAGGGAAAUGGUUAUAUACCAUUUGGAACAUACCCAUGCCAUACAGCACAAUACUAUGCAGUCCAUAAGAAUGAGCUUGGUCUGUACUGACAAUAUACUAAGUGAAAAAAGGCAAAUUGCAGACCAAUAUGUGUAGCACAAUAUAGUCUCUAUCAGAGAACUCACAAUAUAUCAGUGUUAUAUAUAAAUGCUUUUGUAUACAUUUAGAAAAUAAAUACAUGGAUGUACAAGAAACUCAAAAUCGUGAUUAAUUCUGGGGAGUAGGAUUUGGUUGAGUGGAUGAGGGAGGGAAGUCUCUGAAUUUUCCUCCUUUAUUUAUGCACUUCUAUACUGGUUGAAUUUGUUUUAACAAGCCUAUACUACUUUAUCUUCAUUCUUAAAAAUAAUAAUAAUAAUAAUAAUAAUAAUAAUAAUAAUAAUAAAGGUAGCAUAAGAAUUCUUCCCCUUCAGAAUUUUUUCAAUUGUACAGAUCUAACUUUAAAAUUUGAGCUGGGAAAAGAAGCAAACAGUCAAGAUGUACCCUAGUGUCCUCCUCUGAUGAAAAUAUUUCAGGGAUGUCCCAUGUGUCGGGGGUCAAGUCUAAACACCUUCCUGUAACACUUCAGGUUCUCCUAAAUUUAGCCACUUGUCUACCCCUAUAGUGUCUUCAGCAAUCCUCCAACUCACAGCUUCCAGCCUCACUGGAACAUGCUAGGAUAUGGAUUCCCCAGGAUUAUUGCUGCACGUUAGCUCUAUCAGGUUGCUCACGCGCCUGUGAAGACAUCCCCGGCUGCCUAACACUCAUUCUGUUCUCUGAGACUCAGUUCAAGCAUCUUCUCCAAAACAUCCAGCCCUUUAGCCAGCUGCGCCCCAGUCUGGUAGGGUGUUGCUCUGAAAUGUUCCAUAUCCCCAGGCAUACACCCUGCAUUAUUUUACUUGUUGUACCCUACUACCUCUUUAGUUUAGUAUCCCGUUUCCCCUCUAGGUGAGAACCUGCUGAACGCAGAAGUGGUGUUGUGUGUCGCUUAGGUGCCCAAUGUCUAUCCCAGUUGCCUGGCUGUUGGAAACUCUUACCAAGUGACUAUUGGGUGGUACAGUGCUCACAUCCUCUUUCUGGAACCCACUUAUUGUCAGCCUCAAAGAAAUACGGGAGACCAAAUUUUAAAAUUCCUCACGAGUUACUUUUUUUUUACAUAGAGCAUAAAUUAAAAUUUAGAACCACAAAACCACAGCACUUUAGACCUGGAAAGGACUUAAGAGUUAUCUAGAGAAGUUGUUUUCAAUCAAGAGUCUGUGAGCUAGUGCAAGUCUGCAUGCUCUGAGGCAAAAUGAGAAAAAUAUGAGCAAUGGAGCAGAGUUUUUAAAAAAUUAGGUUAGAUGCAUUUGGUUUAAAUGAUGCUCUCUUAUUCAGCUAUUAUGUCUCCCUUCCAUUUUAAGGUUAUUAAUGAAUUAUGUGUGUAUAGGGAUUGUUUUUUAGUUUAGUUGGUCUAUUAUAUAAAAAAAAUCUGCAAACCCCAGAUCUUGUGUCUUUCUCCUCAGAACUGAGACCCAGAGAGAUGAUCACUUUGCCCAGAGCCGACAAAGAAAUACACGUUUCACUUUAGUAUCCUUCUGCUGGUGUGUGUAAUGCAAUUGUGUAUGUAUACAAGUAUUAUAUAUGUUUGGUGUAAUUGGUUUUUUAUUCAGUAUUUCAAAUCCAGAAAUGCAGCAGUUAACAUAUUUGUUGUAUUACAAUGAGAAACAGGCUUCUUUUCGACAAGUGUCUAUAGCCAUAUAGUAUUUCUGCCUGUUAGUAUUUGGUGAGGUUUGAAGAAACGUCAGUCUUGAAAUUAUAUAUAUGCAAUAUUAUUAUUGACUUUGGUAUGGAAACAAAGACUGUUUACUAUCAAUUUUUGGAUGCUUUCUAAGUUUGAAUGUGUUGCAAGUACCUUAAAAAAAGAAUUUAAAGUGACUUUGAAUUUGUCCAUUGCUUCAACUCUGAUUUUAAACAUCUGAAUGCUGUCCGACUAAGAAAUUCCACUUCUAAGAGUUUAUCAUGAGAAAAUAAUGAGAGAUGUGUUCGUUAAAGCAUUUGUGGUAAAGAUUAGAAAAAACACAAAUGCCCAAUAAUAUGGAAUUGCUUAAAUACAUUUUCACAUAGUUAUGCAUGGCUGUAUGUUGAUCUUCUUUUGGAUACUUGUUUGUAUCUUCUCAUUUUUAUUUACCACCCCUUAUACUUAGAUAAGUAAAAAGUUUUAAAAUCCGUCUAGCUUAAUAUUGUCCAAAAUAAUGUUUCUUACCUGCUUUUCUUACGCUUUUUUCCAAUUUGACAUUAUUGAUUAAUACAAUUUGAUAGCCAAUCAAAGUUCAGUAUGUAUAGACUCCAAACUUUAUUUUUUUCAAGUUUAGCUUUUACAUCUUCUGUUAUUACGUAGCUUAGCUUAGUUUCAAUACGCAACACGAGCUGCUGUCGAUCAGCACACCGUCUGAUGGAAAAGCGGUCAUUCUCAUUUUGAACACUAUGCUCUCUGGCAAGUUCAUGUUUUAGACUUGUACAUUCUAAUUAACUAUCAAUAAGGACCAAGCACAACCAUAAACACAAAGGUCUAAAGACAUUUGAAGAUGUAAUCGGUCUCAGUAUGUAUUUUCCCUCUAGACCUGGCUGCCUCUUAGCUCAGAGUAGGAAAUUUGGCCAUGGGAUUUACCAGGGUUGCAGGCUAUUGGCCAAAAAACCAGAAGGAAUAGCAUCCUUAGCAUUUCCAGACCCCCAAAAAGCCUCUUUGAAAGAGGAGGACAAGAGAUGCUUUAUUACAUCAUAGUUAUGUAUGCCUGUGUGUGCACCUGCGUGUGUACCACUGUGUGAACCAGUGUGUGUGUGUUUGUGUGUGUGGCUGAGAGAUGGGAGGGGGAGGCGGUGAGAGGGAGUGGGAAAGGGGAGAGGGAAAGGGAGAGAGAAAAGGUGAGUGAGACUGUGUUAAAGGUUCCUGAACUCUCUGGCACUACGUUGAUUUUUUUUUUUUUUUCAGGUAAGCUUCACACCCAGUGCAGAGCUCAAACUCAGAACCCCGAGAUCAAGACCUGAGCUGAGAUCAAGAGUCAGAUGGUUAAACGUCUGAGCCACCCAGCGCCCCUCUGGCACUAGAUUAAUUCUAAUUUGCUGUUAUAGCUUCUGAUGGUUCUUCCCAGUAGUUGUUCUACUUUUAAUUGGUUAAUUAAUGAGUUGUUCAAGGUCUGACUCUUUCUAGAACAUAAGGCACACGAAGGCUGGAACCAUGUGCCAGCCCCCAGUACCUAGCCCAGUGCUAUUUGCAUAUGUAGUGAGGAUUUAAUAAAUGGUUGGUAGAAUAAAUGCCUG
This 16136-nucleotide long non-coding RNA is filed under the name Lynx pardinus (Iberian lynx). Lineage: Eukaryota; Metazoa; Chordata; Mammalia; Carnivora; Felidae. The record is from RNAcentral.